GUUGUGUGUGUGUGUGUGUGUGUGUGUGUGUGUUGACGUGUGUGUGUGUGUGAGUGUAUAUGUGAGAGAAUAUGAAAGUUGGUGACAAGAAAAAAAGACAGGCGCCGACAGGAAUUAAGUAGCCAACGUAUAACACCACCAGCUAUAGCUUCUC
Octopus sinensis (East Asian common octopus) is the source of this 154-nucleotide long non-coding RNA. RefSeq lists it as uncharacterized. The transcript has 3 exons. Lineage: Eukaryota; Metazoa; Mollusca; Cephalopoda; Octopoda; Octopodidae. The record is from RefSeq and is a predicted model, not a curated record.